Molecule: ribosomal RNA, 487 nt
Filed under: Shouchella clausii
Lineage: Bacteria; Bacillati; Bacillota; Bacilli; Caryophanales; Bacillaceae
Description: bacterial SSU rRNA
Rfam family: Bacterial small subunit ribosomal RNA
Source: RNAcentral
GGACGAAAGUCUGACGGAGCAACGCCGCGUGAGUGAGGAAGGCCUUCGGGUCGUAAAGCUCUGUUGUGAGGGAAGAAGCGGUACCGUUCGAAUAGGGCGGUACCUUGACGGUACCUCACCAGAAAGCCACGGCUAACUACGUGCCAGCAGCCGCGGUAAUACGUAGGUGGCAAGCGUUGUCCGGAAUUAUUGGGCGUAAAGCGCGCGCAGGCGGCUUCUUAAGUCUGAUGUGAAAUCUCGGGGCUCAACCCCGAGCGGCCAUUGGAAACUGGGGAGCUUGAGUGCAGAAGAGGAGAGUGGAAUUCCACGUGUAGCGGUGAAAUGCGUAGAGAUGUGGAGGAACACCAGUGGCGAAGGCGACUCUCUGGUCUGUAACUGACGCUGAGGCGCGAAAGCGUGGGGAGCAAACAGGAUUAGAUACCCUGGUAGUCCACGCCGUAAACGAUGAGUGCUAGGUGUUAGGGGUUUCGAUGCCCGUAGUGCCGAA